CCCUCUCAGGCAGUUCCCAGGGAAUGUGAGUCACUGCAGAGAAAUCCCGGCAGCAGAAAGAAAGUUUGGGUUUCAGAGAGUCUCCCCGUAGCGCUGCAGGCACCUCUUUCUCUCCGGGGCAGGAGCCAAGGUGCUGCCAACAGGGCGUAGUGCCUGGCAAACAGACCUCUAUGAUGGAAGUGACAACGUGACAAAGUAGAGGGUGCUGACCUUGGUUCAAAUCCUGCUUCGUACAUUAACAGCAGAGAUUAUGUCUCAGAAACCUGGGCCAUGAAAGAAAUACGGAAGAGACUUUUCCAUCCUACUCUAGCUUACCUGCGG
Phascolarctos cinereus (koala) is the source of this 321-nucleotide non-coding RNA. NCBI's taxonomy places the organism in Eukaryota, Metazoa, Chordata, Mammalia, Diprotodontia, Phascolarctidae. The record is from RefSeq and is a predicted model, not a curated record.